Molecule: long non-coding RNA, 189 nt
Filed under: Callithrix jacchus (white-tufted-ear marmoset)
Lineage: Eukaryota; Metazoa; Chordata; Mammalia; Primates; Cebidae
Description: lncRNA (ENSCJAG00000085765.1)
Source: RNAcentral
UGAGGAUCAGCUGGAGGAGCUUUGAUGAAGUGCUGAUGUCCAGGGCGCACCCUCAGAGACAGGAACUGGCAAACAGACACACGGAGGAGCAGGUCACGUGAAGAUGGAGGCAGAGGUUGGAGUUAUGCUGCCAUAAGACAAAAAGUGCCUGGAGCCCCCAGACGCUGGAAGAGGCGAGGAAGUAUCUAG